GUUCCAUCAUUCCCAGGACCUGUCAUGUGUCAUGAUCCUUGCUUAGAAACUAGAGAUAGUAGCCAUUGCAGAGGAGAGGUUAAGUUUCUUCUCUGUCAAGUCAAGUCAAAGAGCAAGCCCUGUAAGAGCUCAGUGAAGUCAGUGAGAGUGUUUCCUAUCAGAUUCAAUUUCCUGAGAGCCCAUCUAUUACAUCUCAGAGGAGAACAUAAGAGGUGGUUUGGAUAUGUUCAUCCUGGAAGAAACACUGCUCUUACUGAACGAAAAAUGAGAAUUGAGUAGAACAAAUUCACACUUGGAUUACAUGAGUUUUAUCCACAAGGACAUUUCAUCCUGGUUUUCAGACAUGGUGAAGUAGAGGUCAAAGGCUUGCUCUCUAUCUGUCAGCUGACUUGUCAAAUGCAUCUUCCUCUUCCUAAAAUAAUUUCUGAAGCU
Molecule: long non-coding RNA, 432 nt
Organism: Neopelma chrysocephalum (saffron-crested tyrant-manakin)
Lineage: Eukaryota; Metazoa; Chordata; Aves; Passeriformes; Pipridae
Exons: 3
Source: RefSeq, a predicted model, not a curated record